Molecule: ribosomal RNA, 313 nt
Filed under: uncultured bacterium
Lineage: Bacteria
Description: bacterial SSU rRNA
Rfam family: Bacterial small subunit ribosomal RNA
Source: RNAcentral
GGCGAACGCUGGCGGCGUGCCUAACACAUGCAAGUCGAGCGGAGACAAUUUUGAGCUUGCUUAGAAUUGUUUUAGCGGCGGACGGGUGAGUAACGCGUGAGCAACCUUUCUCUCAGUGGGGAAUAACACAGGGAAACUUGUACUAAUACCGCAUGAGACCACAAUGUCGCAUGGCAAAGGGGUCAAAGAUUAAUCGCUGAGAGGUGGGCUCGAGUCUGAUUAGAUAGUUGGUGGGGUAACGGCCUACCAAGUCGACGAUCAGUAGCCGACCUGAGAGGGUGAUCGGCCACAUUGGGACUGAGACACGGCCCAA